AGCUUUGCACAGUGUCAGUAUCGGAGCCAAUGAGGUUUAUCUGAGGUGCGAUUAUUGCUAAUUGAAAACUUCCCAAUACCCCGCCAUGACGACUUGAAAUAUAGUCGGCAUGGGCAACUUUGACAGUCUCUAUGGAGA
RNAcentral lists this small nuclear RNA (138 nucleotides) under Heterocephalus glaber (naked mole-rat). Its description in RNAcentral is "U4 spliceosomal RNA (ENSHGLG00100024352.2)". It matches the Rfam family "U4 spliceosomal RNA". Rfam says of the family: U4 small nuclear RNA (U4 snRNA) is a component of the major U2-dependent spliceosome. The structure of U4 snRNA from yeast and human has been reported. Lineage: Eukaryota; Metazoa; Chordata; Mammalia; Rodentia; Bathyergidae. The record is from RNAcentral.